GGUGAGUAACACGUGGGUAACCUGCCUGUAAGACUGGGAUAACUCCGGGAAACCGGGGCUAAUACCGGAUGGUUGUUUGAACCGCAUGGUUCAAACAUAAAAGGUGGCUUCGGCUACCACUUACAGAUGGACCCGCGGCGCAUUAGCUAGUUGGUGAGGUAACGGCUCACCAAGGCAACGAUGCGUAGCCGACCUGAGAGGGUGAUCGGCCACACUGGGACUGAGACACGGCCCAGACUCCUACGGGAGGCAGCAGUAGGGAAUCUUCCGCAAUGGACGAAAGUCUGACGGAGCAACGCCGCGUGAGUGAUGAAGGUUUUCGGAUCGUAAAGCUCUGUUGUUAGGGAAGAACAAGUACCGUUCGAAUAGGGCGGUACCUUGACGGUACCUAACCAGAAAGCCACGGCUAACUACGUGCCAGCAGCCGCGGUAAUACGUAGGUGGCAAGCGUUGUCCGGAAUUAUUGGGCGUAAAGGGCUCGCAGGCGGUUUCUUAAGUCUGAUGUGAAAGCCCCCGGCUCAACCGGGGAGGGUCAUUGGAAACUGGGGAACUUGAGUGCAGAAGAGGAGAGUGGAAUUCCACGUGUAGCGGUGAAAUGCGUAGAGAUGUGGAGGAACACCAGUGGCGAAGGCGACUCUCUGGUCUGUAACUGACGCUGAGGAGCGAAAGCGUGGGGAGCGAACAGGAUUAGAUACCCUGGUAGUCCACGCC
RNAcentral lists this ribosomal RNA (711 nucleotides) under Bacillus sp. AS07. Its description in RNAcentral is "bacterial SSU rRNA". It matches the Rfam family "Bacterial small subunit ribosomal RNA", at positions 105 to 801 of the family's 1533-position model. RNAcentral also lists the same sequence under 1 other name. The record is from RNAcentral. Lineage: Bacteria; Bacillati; Bacillota; Bacilli; Caryophanales; Bacillaceae.